AGUGAACGCUGGCGGUAGGCCUAACACAUGCAAGUCGAACGGCAGCACAGUAAGAGCUUGCUCUUACGGGUGGCGAGUGGCGGACGGGUGAGGAAUACAUCGGAAUCUACUUUUUCGUGGGGGAUAACGUAGGGAAACUUACGCUAAUACCGCAUACGACCUACGGGUGAAAGCAGGGGAUCUUCGGACCUUGCGCGAUUGAAUGAGUCGAUGUCGGAUUAGCUAGUUGGCGGGGUAAAGGCCCACCAAGGCGACGAUCCGUAGCUGGUCUGAGAGGAUGAUCAGCCACACUGGAACUGAGACACGGUCCAGACUCCUACGGGAGGCAGCAGUGGGGAAUAUUGGACAAUGGGCGCAAGCCGGAUCCAGCCAUACCGCGUGGGUGAAGAAGGCCUUCGGGUUGUAAAGCCCUUUGCUGGGAAAGAAAAGCAGCAGGUUAAUACCCCGCUGUUCUGACGGUACCCAAAGAAUAAGCACCGGCUAACUUCGUG
Molecule: ribosomal RNA, 491 nt
Filed under: uncultured bacterium
Lineage: Bacteria
Description: partial 16S ribosomal RNA
Rfam family: Bacterial small subunit ribosomal RNA
Source: RNAcentral